GCCGUGCAUGGCGAGCACCGCGUCCCGGCCCUCGGGUGUCCGGAACGGCACGUUCCAGUCGGGGUACGGGA
RNAcentral lists this transfer RNA (71 nucleotides) under Actinocatenispora comari. RNAcentral's name for it is "tRNA-Pro". The record is from RNAcentral. Lineage: Bacteria; Bacillati; Actinomycetota; Actinomycetes; Micromonosporales; Micromonosporaceae.